GAUGAACGCUGGCGGCGUGCCUAAUACAUGCAAGUCGAGCGAACAGACGAGGAGCUUGCUCCUUUGACGUUAGCGGCGGACGGGUGAGUAACACGUGGGUAACCUACCUAUAAGACUGGGAUAACUUCGGGAAACCGGAGCUAAUACCGGAUAAUAUUUCGAACCGCAUGGUUCGAUAGUGAAAGAUGGCUUUGCUAUCACUUAUAGAUGGACCUGCGCCGUAUUAGCUAGUUGGUAAGGUAACGGCUUACCAAGGCAACGAUACGUAGCCGACCUGAGAGGGUGAUCGGCCACACUGGAACUGAGACACGGUCCAGACUCCUACGGGAGGCAGCAGUAGGGAAUCUUCCGCAAUGGGCGAAAGCCUGACGGAGCAACGCCGCGUGAGUGAUGAAGGUCUUCGGAUCGUAAAACUCUGUUAUUAGGGAAGAACAAACGUGUAAGUAACCGUGCACGUCUUGACGGUACCUAAUCAGAAAGCCACGGCUAACUACGUG
This 497-nucleotide ribosomal RNA is filed under the name uncultured bacterium. Its description in RNAcentral is "partial 16S ribosomal RNA". It matches the Rfam family "Bacterial small subunit ribosomal RNA", at positions 28 to 507 of the family's 1533-position model. The record is from RNAcentral.